Molecule: long non-coding RNA, 629 nt
Filed under: Callithrix jacchus (white-tufted-ear marmoset)
Lineage: Eukaryota; Metazoa; Chordata; Mammalia; Primates; Cebidae
Description: lncRNA (ENSCJAG00000082434.1)
Source: RNAcentral
GCUGGUAUGAUGACUUUCUGCUCCAUAAACACAGCCUUCUUGCCUCAGUGCUCUACUGACUCCACGUAUGACCCUCAUCCUCAUUGUCUGAGAUAGUGGCAUGAUGUUUCUGGCAGGAGGAUGGAGGAAGGCAUAGAGAAGAAGAAACAAGGGCAUAUGUCAGCUGUCUCAGGAUUACCUUCAUAGUGAACUGGAGAGUACACAUCUGGAUGUCUUGGGAUAAGGGAGAGAGAGGAGAGUCAAUAGUGAAGAGAAAGUUUAUCACAUUCCUGAGAAAUAUCCUCCUGAGCUUGCAGCAAAGUGAUUUCUGGCCUGUGGAGAAGAAGACAGUGAACUACUACUACUGGAUGGAUACUGAUGCCUUUAAGAGAGUCCUAAUUUCAAUCUUCUGUCAUGGAGAAUAUCCAAUCAAAUUAGAAGUGAAACAAGUCAAAGUAAGCUUUUUUGAAAACAAUAUUAUCUGUGAUUUUGGUGAAAAGAUACAUUUCUCCAUUAAAAUUGUAUUUAUUUUUAAAAAAUGUCAAUAUGGUUCGUGCCCCAUUUACAACCCAACACACUUAGAUUAUCCAUCAUUGCCACCAGAUACAAAAGUUGCAACUUUUUUUAUUUUCAUAAACUUACUAUUUUGA